UACGUAGGGCGCAAGCGUUGUCCGGAAUUAUUGGGCGUAAAGAGCUCGUAGGCGGUUUGUCGCGUCUGCUGUGAAAACCUAAGGCUCAACCUUGGGCUUGCAGUGGGUACGGGCAGACUAGAGUGCGGUAGGGGUGACUGGAAUUCCUGGUGUAGCGGUGAAAUGCGCAGAUAUCAGGAGGAACACCGAUGGCGAAGGCGGGUCUCUGGG
RNAcentral lists this ribosomal RNA (210 nucleotides) under uncultured bacterium. RNAcentral describes it as "partial 16S ribosomal RNA". It matches the Rfam family "Bacterial small subunit ribosomal RNA", at positions 524 to 733 of the family's 1533-position model. The record is from RNAcentral.